CUUACCAAGGCAAUGAUGCAUAGCCGAGUUGAGAGACUGAUCGGCCACAUUGGGACUGAGACACGGCCCAAACUCCUACGGGAGGCAGCAGUAGGGGAAUCUUCCACAAUGGACGCAAGUCUGAUGGAGCAAACGCCGCGUGAGUGAAGAAGGGUUUCGGCUCGUAAAGCUCUGUUGGUAGUGAAGAAAGAUAGAGGUAGUAACUGGCCUUUAUUUGACGGUAGUUACUUAGAAAAGUCACGGGCUAACUACGUGCCAGCAGCGCGGGUAAAUA
This 274-nucleotide ribosomal RNA is filed under the name uncultured Lactobacillus sp. RNAcentral's name for it is "partial 16S ribosomal RNA". It matches the Rfam family "Bacterial small subunit ribosomal RNA", at positions 264 to 525 of the family's 1533-position model. Lineage: Bacteria; Bacillati; Bacillota; Bacilli; Lactobacillales; Lactobacillaceae. The record is from RNAcentral.